AUUGAACGCUGGCGGCAGGCCUAACACAUGCAAGUCGAGCGGAUGAAGGGAGCUUGCUCCUGGAUUCAGCGGCGGACAGGUGAGUAAUGCCUAGGAAUCUGCCUGGUAGUGGGGGAUAACGUCCGGAAACGGGCGCUAAUACCGCAUACGUCCUGAGGGAGAAAGUGGGGGAUCUUCGGACCUCACGCUAUCAGAUGAGCCUAGGUCGGAUUAGCUAGUUGGUGGGGUAAAGGCCUACCAAGGCGACGAUCCGUAACUGGUCUGAGAGGAUGAUCAGUCACACUGGAACUGAGACACGGUCCAGACUCCUACGGGAGGCAGCAGUGGGGAAUAUUGGACAAAGGGCGAAAGCCUGACCCAGCCAUGCCGCGUGUGUGAAGAAGGUCUUCGGAUUGUAAAGCACUUUAAGUUGGGAGGAAGGGCAGUAAGUUAAUACCUUGCUGUUUUGACGUUACCAACAGAAUAAGCACCGGCUAACUUCGUG
Molecule: ribosomal RNA, 484 nt
Filed under: uncultured bacterium
Lineage: Bacteria
Description: partial 16S ribosomal RNA
Rfam family: Bacterial small subunit ribosomal RNA
Source: RNAcentral